AACCUGCCCACUGAAUAUUUUUAAAUGGCCGCAGUAUACUAACUGUGCAAAGGUAGCAUAAUCAUUAGUCUUUUAAUUGAAGGCUGGUAUGAAUGGUUGGACGAAAUAUUAACUGUUUCAUAAAAAUUUAAAAUAAAAUUUUAUUUUUUAGUAAAAAAGCUAAAAUAAAUUUAAAAGACGAGAAGACCCUAUGAAUCUUUAUAUUUAAUUUAUUAUUAUUUUAUAGAUUUGUUUUGUUAUAAUAAAUUGUAAUAUUUUAUUGGGGUGAUAUUAAAAUUUAAAAAACUUUUAAUUUUAAAAAUCAUUAAUUUAUGAUUAAUUGAUCCGUUAUUAACGAUUAAAAAUUUAAGUUACUCUAGGGAUAACAGCGUAAUUUUUUUGGAGAGUUCUUAUCGAUAAAAAAGUUUGCGACCUCGAUGUUGGAUUAAGAUAUAAUUUUAGGUGUAGAAGCUUAAAUUUUAAGUCUGUUCGACUUUUAAAUUCUUACAUGAUCUGAGUUCAAACCGGCGUAAGCCAGGUUGGUUUCUAUCUUUAAAAA
RNAcentral lists this ribosomal RNA (538 nucleotides) under Fannia sp. MATM-2012. Its description in RNAcentral is "partial small subunit ribosomal RNA". It matches the Rfam family "Bacterial large subunit ribosomal RNA", at positions 1856 to 2650 of the family's 2925-position model. The record is from RNAcentral. Lineage: Eukaryota; Metazoa; Arthropoda; Insecta; Diptera; Fanniidae.